Molecule: non-coding RNA, 822 nt
Organism: Pelobates cultripes (western spadefoot toad)
Lineage: Eukaryota; Metazoa; Chordata; Amphibia; Anura; Pelobatidae
Source: the annotation of a GenBank genome assembly
CUGGCACCUCGUGCCCGGAGGAUAUAUGGGACCUGGUUUCCACCAUUUGAGCCGGUUGGCGAGAGAGUCGCUGGCGGAGUCGACGUGGAAGUCGUAUUCUGCGGUCUGGCGGCAGUGGACAGGUGUCUGCAAGGACAGGGAGGCGUCUACGGACGAAGGUAGGCUGGGAGCGACUCUGGCCUUUUUGGAGUCACUCUGCGAGAAGGGUAAGUCGGUAGCGGCAGCAGAGAGGGCGUUAGCGGCCCUGUCUUUUCUGUUCCAGUGGUGUGGGUGGCAGGAUGCGACCAAGUCAUUCUGCAUUUCGCGGAUCAUGAAGGGCUGGAAGAAGGGUCGUAGGCGGGACGCUCGGCGUCCCAUCUCCUAUGAGAUCUUGUGCAGACUCCUGGAGCGUCUGCCCCAGAUUUGUGUUUCGGGCUACGAGGUUCUCCUGUUUCGGGCCGCGUUUGCUGUCUGCUUUUUUGCGGCUCUUCGGAUAGGCGAGCUGGUGGCACCGAGUACGCGGGGGCCAGCUGCCAUGCAACUUGCUGAUGUCACGGUCUCGACGGGUGACAUGGAGUUGAUCAUUCGUAAAUCUAAGACAGAUCAGGUAGGUGUGGGCGCAUCGGUUCGGAUUAUGGCUACUGGUGAGCAGUUUUGCCCGGUUAAGUUGCUGCGGGAUUUCUUGGCGGUGCGAGGAUCGGAGGCAGGAUCCCUGUUGCGGCAUCGGGAUGGGUCAGCGCUCAGCCGGUUUCAGUUCGCCAGGGUUCUCCGGGCAGGGGUGGUUAGUCUUGGGUUGUCUCCGGGUUUGUACACCACGCACUCGUUUCGAAUCGGAGCUGCCAC